UGGGGAAUUUUGGACAAUGGGCGCAAGCCUGAUCCAGCAAUACCGCGUGUGUGAAGAAGGCCUGAGGGUUGUAAAGCACUUUCAAUGGGGAGGAAAAAGCGUAGAUUAAUACUCUGCGUAUUGACAUUACCCAUACAAGAAGCACCGGCUAACUCCGUGCCAGCAGCCGCGGUAAUACGGAGGGUGCAAGCGUUAAUCGGAAUUACUGGGCGUAAAGCGUGCGUAGGCGGCCUGUUAAGUCAGUUGUGAAAUCUCCGAGCUUAACUCGGAACGGUCAACUGAUACUGUCACACUAGAGUACAGAAGGGGCAAUCGGAAUUCUUGGUGUAGCGGUGAAAUGCGUAGAUAUCAAGAGGAACACCUGAGGCGAAGGCGGGUUGCUGGGCUGAUACUGACGCUGAGGCGCGAAAGCUAGGGUAGCAAGCGGGAUUAGAUACCCCAGUAGUCCCUGAGCGGGCUGGCAAGGCGCAU
Molecule: ribosomal RNA, 471 nt
Filed under: uncultured bacterium
Lineage: Bacteria
Description: bacterial SSU rRNA
Rfam family: Bacterial small subunit ribosomal RNA
Source: RNAcentral